AAAAAACAAACAGAGAAGUUAGGUCGAUUACAAAAAGGAGUCAUGGAUAAGUUUGUUGCAAAAGAACCACAUGUGUCCUCCAAUAAUCAAUCACAGGAUCAAAGCCUCAUGGUUGAUAAUAAUGUUGACCCUGAUGUUGACAAUGAUCAUAGAGAUGAACAAGCAGAGAAAGAAAAUAAUGAUGAGGUUGAUGAUGAUCUUAUUGGUAACACAAACAUUGAUAUGGAUAAUAAUGCGGAUGUCGGUGGUGCUUUUCAUGUUAAUAUAGUUGAUCCAAGAAAUUGGGGUUCUCUUGAUCCUAAGCAGAUUGACAUUUUAGCACAAAAGGGCCCUAAAAGACUCACAAUUCAGAAAGGUCCUAAGGACAGAUAUUCUAGUAGGUUUUCUGAACCAUUCUAUACUAGAAUUAUGUCAAAUGGGGAGCAUUGCGAUAGAGAUUGGCUUGUCUAUUCUAAGGACCUCAAUAGACUAUUUUGCUUUGGUUGUAAAUUAUUUACAAAAGGGCAUAGAAAAGGUCAAUUGGCAAACGAGGGGUGUGAUGAUUGGGUACAUCUUGGCAAUACACUUAAAGAGCAUGAGACAAGUGUAGAUCAUGUUUUGAAUAUGACCACUUGGUAUGAGCUCUGUGCUACUAGAUUGCAAAAGCAUCAAACUAUUGAUAAAGAUGCUCAAGGACAACUUGAGAAUGAAGAGCACUGGAGAAAAAAUUUGUUCAGAAUUGUUUGCAUUAUUAAAUUUCUUACCAAGCAUAAUCUAGCCUUCCGUGGUAGUAACAGCAAACUGCAUGAAGACAGCAAUGGGAAUUUCUUGGGUCUGGUAGAGAUGUUGGCUGAAUUUAACACAGUUAUUCAACAAGAGCAUGCUUGUAUUACAAAUGAAGAAAUUCAUGGUCAUCAUCUUGAUCAUAAGAUUUAGAAUGAGUUGAUACACUUGUUUGCUUCGACUAUUACGUUUGAGAUUUUUAAGAAAAUAAAGAGUGCAAAAUAUUUCUUGGUCAUACUUGAUUGUCCUGAUGCAAGCCACCAAGAACAGAUAUCUUCAAUUGUUAGGUAUGUGGAUUCAUCUUCAAGUCAUGUUUGUGUAGAAGAAUCCUUUGUAGGAUUUUUAGAUGUAAAUGGUACGACUGGGCAAGGACUUUUAGAAGUGCUAGAGAAUGAACUUAAGCUUCUUGAUCUUGAUAUAGAUAAUGUGAGAGGACAAGGGUAUGAUAAUGGGUCAGAUAUGAAAGGAAAACAUCAUGGGGUACAAAGGAGAGUUUUGAAUGUAAAUCCUAGAGCUAUCUAUUAUGCUUGUGGUUGCCAUAGCCUUAAUUUAACACUUUGUGGUAUCAUCCAACACAUUUAUGUAACUUUCGCAAUUUUUACGAAGAAAUGCAAUUCUGAAAGAUAA
RNAcentral lists this ribosomal RNA (1389 nucleotides) under Triticum aestivum (bread wheat). RNAcentral's name for it is "partial small subunit ribosomal RNA". The record is from RNAcentral. Lineage: Eukaryota; Viridiplantae; Streptophyta; Magnoliopsida; Poales; Poaceae.